AGCAGCCGCGGUAAUUCCAGCUCCAAUAGCGUAUAUUAAAGUUGUUGCAGUUAAAAAGCUCGUAGUUGAAUUUCGGGGUCAGUAGAUUGGUCGUGCCACUGGUAUGUACUGGUCUUACUGGCUCCUCCUUCCUGAUGAACCGUAAUGCCAUUAAUUUGGUGUUGCGGGGAGACUGGACUGUUACUUUGAAAAAUUAGAGUGUUUAAAGCAGGCUAACGCUUGAAUACAUUAGCAUGGAAUAAUGAAAUAGGACGUUCGAUCUUAUUUUGUUGGUUUCUAAGAUUGACGUAAUGAUUAAUAGGGAUAGUUGGGGGCAUUAGUAUUCAAUUGUCAGAGGUGAAAUUCUUGGAUUUAUUGAAGACUAACUACUGCGAAAGCAUUUGCCAAGGAUGUUUUCAUUAAUCAAGAACGAAAGUUAGGGGAUCGAAGACGAUCAGAUACCGUCGUAGUCUUAACCAUAAACUAUGCGACUAGGAGUCGAUGAUGUUAAUUUUUAAUGACUCAUUCGGCGUAC
RNAcentral lists this small RNA (514 nucleotides) under uncultured Glomus. RNAcentral describes it as "SSU rRNA". It matches the Rfam family "Eukaryotic small subunit ribosomal RNA", at positions 569 to 1088 of the family's 1831-position model. The record is from RNAcentral. Lineage: Eukaryota; Fungi; Glomeromycota; Glomeromycetes; Glomerales; Glomeraceae.